GAUUAAGCCAUGCAUGUGUAAGUAUAAAUAAUUCUACUUUGAAACUGCGAAUGGCUCAUUAUAUCAGUUAUAGUUUAUUAGAAAAAAUGUACUACUUGGAUAACCGUAGUAAUUCUAGGGCUAAUACAUGAAUGAAUCCUCGACUUUGAAGAGGUGUGUUUAUUAGUAUGAAAACCAUAUGCUUUUGCAUGAUAGUGAGUAAUAAUAACCUUUCAUAUCGCCUGUUUUUAAUAGCGAUAGUUCUUUCAAGUUUCUGCCCUAUCAGCUUUCGAUGGUAGUGUAUUGGACUACCAUG
RNAcentral lists this ribosomal RNA (295 nucleotides) under Blastocystis hominis. Its description in RNAcentral is "partial 18S ribosomal RNA". It matches the Rfam family "Eukaryotic small subunit ribosomal RNA", at positions 42 to 348 of the family's 1831-position model. Lineage: Eukaryota; Bigyra; Opalinata; Blastocystidae. The record is from RNAcentral.